CCAACAGUGACAUCACAUUCUGACCGCCAGGGAACACUGGUAGUUCUUUAGGUGGCGUUUGUUGCUGUGAAAGGCAGAGAAUGCAGCAAGUGCCCUUCUAAAGCACUUCAGACUGGGGCUUCUUUUGUAAAAGCUCCCCAACCUGAAUGACCAAAUGCGGGCUGCCAAGGUUAUUUCUUCCUUGAGGCAGAAAAAAAGAAAACUGUGAUUGAAGAGGACAAGUCGUACAAUGGUGGAGGAAUAGGUUCUUCAAAUAGGAUCAUGGACUUCUUGGAGGAGCCAAUCCCUGGUGUAGGGACCUAUGAUGAUUUCAAUACAAUUGAUUGGGUGAGAGAGAAGUCUCGAGACCGGGAU
This 354-nucleotide long non-coding RNA is filed under the name Pan troglodytes (chimpanzee). RNAcentral describes it as "long non-coding RNA NONPTRT018271". The record is from RNAcentral. Lineage: Eukaryota; Metazoa; Chordata; Mammalia; Primates; Hominidae.